This is a long non-coding RNA of Canis lupus familiaris (dog), 3442 nucleotides long. RefSeq lists it as uncharacterized. Lineage: Eukaryota; Metazoa; Chordata; Mammalia; Carnivora; Canidae. The record is from RefSeq and is a predicted model, not a curated record. The transcript is spliced from 2 exons.
GGGGAGAAACCAGGAACUGGUCAAGGUAGAGAAUCCAUUUCCAUCUCAUCUCUAUCAACAUUUGACUCUUUGAUCCUGACUCCUGCCCACUGCCAGUCACUGAGCAAAGCAUGAGUUGGGGGAGAUGGAGGGAGAAAAAGAAAACAUGCAAACCUCCCCCACCUACCACACUUACUAGGUGGGGAUAUAGACUUGUUUUAGUUUGCUGUCUGCUUCAGCAGCUUUCAAUCUUUUCUGCAGGAAGGGGAAAAAAAAAGAAAGAUCAAAGUAUCUCUGCAGGAGGAUGUCAUCAACUCCCAAAGGCAGAGGCUCUGCAGGUCCCCCACAGAGCCCAGCCUGCCCAACUGCCCAGCCACAUCUGCUCACCAAGGUGAUAUCUCGGGAAGCUGCAGCUGCACUCAUGUGCAGGCUUGGCUGCCGAAUGGAACUGCUACAAUCUAGGGCUCUUGCAAAGGUGCCCACAGCUCUGAGGGAGAGAUGGAGAAGCCAAGAGGAAAAGAAGGCAUGAUUGGGCUGAGGAACUAAGCCAAAUAAGGAAAACACCCAUGCCACCCCUGCCAAAAAAAACCCACUUCCCCCCCAAAACAAUCAAGUCCACCUCUGCAAAUUCGAUGCAAGAUGUCCACACCACCCCCAGCCCAUCUUUCCCAUCCACCCACCCCUCACCGGGCCACCACGAGAAACUGAUCAAUCUGCCGGUCUGUGAGAGGGUUGUCUGGGUCCCAGACCUUCAUCUCCAUCUUCUGUUGGUUCCGAUUAUCAGAUUCUCCUUGGAAACAGGGAGACGGCAACAUCAGAGAAAGGUAAAGGAGGAUAGUAAGUAUUUUGAUACUCACAAUAGCACUUCGCUCCUCCUUGGAUUUUAUAAAAUUUUAUAAAAUCCUGCUUGGAUUUUUAUCACCACCUCAACUUUCAGACUUCUCUUCCCAACUGUGCCCAUCUGCCCGCCUCAGGUUCCCAGGGUCCUGUCCUAUCAGGGUGACAGCAGAGAGCCAUGAAGACUAUACAGUGUAAAACUCCACGGCAUACUAUUCAUAGACACUACCAUGUUAGAUAACCCAGUAGCCAUACUGGUCUGGUCUGUCGCUUACCCUCUGCCAAGCGAUCUGGUAUCUCAGCUUGGUAUUUGCAACCAACUCUGAUCUCUCCCUGAUCAGCUAGAAGUGUCUUCUGCACAGGGUCAAACACCAGUGAGUAAAAAAAGCAGUCCUGGAGAUGGGAAGAAAGGGUAAGCAGGCAGCAGUCCUCAGAGGCUGGGGGUGGUGAGGAGGAUCCAGAGUUCCCAAGACAGGCGGUCAGCCAGUUGACCUGUGCCUCAUCAUGGUUCUACUUUCCUCUAGCCCCUUGGGACAUACCCACCCCCCUCCUUCUUCUCCCAGCACCUCUUUCUCACCUCCUUUUCCAAGUAUUGGCUCAAGAUGUCAGUCUCAUUCAGGAGCGUCACACUGCAUUUCCCCCUACAGAAGAGAAGUCAGAAAACCCCGGGUGAGCUCCUCACUGCCUCUCCACAGCAUCUCCAAUACACCACCCCCUCCCUUGCCAGCUUCUACGGAAGUGCCUACAGGCCACAGUGGCCUUGAUUGUCCUAUACCGUAUGUGGGUGGCUGGUAAGGAUUCAAAUUGCCGAGAAAGAAAAAGCUCCCGGUGCUUCAGCUGAUGUCGCUGCUGCUCUGACACCCCUGGCUGCUUUGAUUCCUCCUCAAACUCCCCUGGGAGAUGAAGGAGGAAGAAGCCAAGUCAGAAACUAAUUCAGAAAGAAGCCACCCUGGCAACUCUAACCCCGGGGAAAACAUUUCCUAUUCCAGCUGGUUUUCACAUUCCCCAGGCAUCUACCUCUCAGCCCCUAAGCCCGCCAAACUUCCCACUUAGCCCUCUCCCCAUUACAGUGCUCCCAACUCCCCAUCACUAAUGCCUUGGGAAUCGCUGCUAAGAGUACAAAGAAUGCCACAGAAAUGCAUCCCAAACCCAGGUGCCAAUGCUUAAAUGCCACUCAUAAAGCACAAAUCUGCCCACUUCAGGCCCAGCAAGAAUAUCACACUCCUCUCUCUUGCUAAACCAGCCCGAGUUCCAGAAACCCAAUAAGGUGAAAAAUCAUCACACGAGGUUGUGUUUACUAGUUCUUUUCAGAUUUCAGGAGUCUCUUUGCUCUUAUACAUCUCGCAGUCCUAACUAUUCUUCACUGUCCACUUGACUAAUGAUUGUUUGUGGGGCUUCCAAGGACAGUACCUCUCAAGCCAGCGCCAGUGCCUUCCUCCCCAGGCACUGCAACUUUGCCCUGAAACCUUGGUGGAAAGGGUUAACUUGGCUGAGGGCCAACCAAAGCGGGAGGGGGCAGGAGAGCCACAGGCCCAGGCUCAUUGGUGCAUUGUUCCCAACCUCAGGGAGAAGGGGGGGGUGGGGUGCAGCAGGCUCCACCCCUCGCCUGUGUGCUCCGGAAACCCAGUGCUAAGGCAAGGGGGGGACCACACCCCCCCCACCCCUUCUGAUUGGACAAGGCCAAGGUCAGCCCCUGCCAGAUGGGGCUGGAAACCCCAGAGGGCCAGAGAACUUGGUAGGCCUAGCUCCUCGUUAACCCCUUCAUGGCCACAGCUGCCUGAAAUAAGGAAGAUAAUUUCAGAAGGAGGAACAAGAGGAAGAGGAAAGAAAGCCAAAGCAGGAAAGGAAAAAGAAACUAAGGAAAACAUAAAGAAAUAGUUUUUUUAAAGGAAGAUGAAAGCAUAAAGAGAAGGAAGAUAACACAAAAGGAAAAGAUGUAAAAUGGAGUGGAGCAAAACAGAAGAGGUGAGAAAGAGGAAAAAGGGCAAGAAAAGUUUCCUAGUUUCCCAUUCUCUUCCUUCAAUGUAUUCUCAUUACUUCGUGAUCGCAAAAUUAGGCUGCUUCCUUGUUAUGCAGGCUUCCAAGUACACGCUCUUCCUCUUCAACCUUGACCUUUACAGUCACUACCCAUUGUCCCAAGGUACCCAAAACUGACCCCCAAGGGUCCUGCUUCUCUAAAGCUCUUCUUCAUCCCCUACUUAAAUACUAUCAUCUCUUUUACACCCAUCAUUCAGAUACACACACACAAGCCAUUUUCUGGCUUUCCUUAUCAUGGUCUCUCCACCCUGCUUCCAACCCCAACGUGUAAAAACAGGCCUCCCUCCGCAAACCAGGCAUUUCUCACCCCCAAACUCACACCCCUGCUUUGGGCAUGCUACCAGGGGAAACACCUGCAGGGACAUGCCCAGGCCUCAGAUCAUGGGGAGGGGGAGCGUGGAGGGGGGGGGGGUGCAAAGACACUCACUGGCAUUGCUAUCAGCCAGACUAUUGAGGCUACUAGAAAUGUCCCUUCGCCGGAAAAGACACACAACCUUUGCCUCCACAUUUCCAUUUGCAGUCUAAGAGGAUAAAAAAAAAAAAAAAAACAGCAGUUAAAGUUGGUCAUUUUAAAGUGGAAACACAAAAA